GACAGAGGGUGCAACCGUUGCUCGGAAUCACUGGGCGUAAAGGGCGUGUAGGCGGGAAUGUAAGUCGGGCGUGAAAUCCCUAGGCUCAACCUAGGAACUGCACUCGAAACUGCGUUUCUUGAGUAUCGGAGAGGAUAGUGGAAUUCCCAGUGUAGUGGUGAAAUACGUAGAGAUUGGGAAGAACACCAGUGGCGAAGGCGGCUAUCUGGACGGUUUCUGACGCUAAGACGCGAAAGCGUGGGGAGCAAACAGG
This 253-nucleotide ribosomal RNA is filed under the name uncultured bacterium. Its description in RNAcentral is "partial 16S ribosomal RNA". It matches the Rfam family "Bacterial small subunit ribosomal RNA", at positions 524 to 776 of the family's 1533-position model. The record is from RNAcentral.